GUGAUAUUUAUAUCAUAGUGGCGCACGGGUGCGUAACACGUAUGCAACCUACCUAUUAUUGGGGGAUAGCCUUUGGAAACGGAGAUUAAUACCGCAUAAUACGAUUAACUGGCAUCGGUUGAUUGUUAAAGCAUUUGCGAUAAUAGAUGGGCAUGCGUCCAAUUAGUUAGUUGGUGUGGUAAUGGCUCACCAAGACGAUGAUUGGUAGGGGAUCUGAGAGGAUAAUCCCCCACACUGGCACUGAGAUACGGGCCAGACUCCUACGGGAGGCAGCAGUAGGGAAUAUUGGGCAAUGGGCGGAAGCCUGACCCAGCCAUGCCGCGUGCAGGAAGACGGCGUUAUGCGUUGUAAACUGCUUUUUUAUAGGAAGAAGGAUCCCUUGCGAGGGAAGGUGACGGUACUAUAAGAAUAAGCACCGGCUAACUCCGUGCCAGCAGCCGCGGUAAUACGGAGGGUGCAAGCGUUGUCCGGAUUUAUUGGGUUUAAAGGGUGCGUAGGCGGUUUAUUAAGUCAGUGGUGAAA
This 522-nucleotide ribosomal RNA is filed under the name uncultured bacterium. Its description in RNAcentral is "bacterial SSU rRNA". It matches the Rfam family "Bacterial small subunit ribosomal RNA", at positions 68 to 599 of the family's 1533-position model. The record is from RNAcentral.